This 552-nucleotide long non-coding RNA is filed under the name Linum usitatissimum (flax). Its description in RNAcentral is "long non-coding RNA (LUSI_LNC003124)". Lineage: Eukaryota; Viridiplantae; Streptophyta; Magnoliopsida; Malpighiales; Linaceae. The record is from RNAcentral.
AAUAAAUAAAGAUUAGAUUAAUCAAAUAGAGUACAACAGUGCCACAAGAAUGUGCGCCUGUGACAAAGAAGUUUGCUUACAAAUGCUGCAGGUUACAUGUGAUGCAAGACAACUGUACUAGAAGCACAUAGGGAAAAGGUCUAAUUUAACUUCUGUUGCAGAACAGUUUCCAUCUAAAGUAAGGGACAUUAAUAACUGGGAAUGGAAAAAGAAGAAGAAAAAGGAUGAAAGAAUAGGAGGCUCAUCAUUUACUUUGGCAGGAGUGGACAGAAGGGCAAAGAAGAAUGAACAAAAAUGGGGCAGCCAUUGAUAGGUGUACAGGGAAGAAGACAUUGCUGCACAAAAGAUGAACAAAGGAUCAGGAGACAAUUAAAGUACAGCAAAACUCUACAGAAAACAGGAAGAAAAACAAACAGACACGAUAUCUAAAAGCAAUGGGAACAAGAACUCCACAUUAAGGUAAGAAACUGAACUAACAUAAUGUUAUGAUGUCUUGUCUCUACACAGAAGAAGCAGAAGAGGUAAUCAUAUGAUUCCCCCAAAGCAAAACAG